AUAAUAUUGUGGAUCAGAUUGCUCUGAGCGCUUCUGUUGUAUACCAAGAAAAUGCACCCCUGUUGGUUAUUAUUUCUGUAUCGCAAAGCGACUAUUAAUUACAAGCACAGCAUCAUCAACGGUGAUUGCAAGAACUACUGCAAUCCCUGCGGUUUUUCCUCUUGGUAAAUGCGUUCUGGUCGUGACCAAGGGUGGUCUCCCAAUCGGCCGGGAAUAAGGCUAUUGUUGCAGAACAAAACGCCACAACCACCGCUGUGGUAAAUAUGUUCCAGCAGUACUGCCCACCGCCGUCGGUGUAAUGAUUUCGAUAGCUGAACAAAUGCUAUUAUAUCACGU
Molecule: long non-coding RNA, 336 nt
Organism: Rhagoletis zephyria (snowberry fruit fly)
Lineage: Eukaryota; Metazoa; Arthropoda; Insecta; Diptera; Tephritidae
Source: RefSeq, a predicted model, not a curated record